CGGGGGGAGCAAGCGUUGUUCGGAUUUACUGGGCGUAAAGGGCGCGUAGGCGGUCAGCACAAGUCAGUUGUGAAAUCUCCGAGCUUAACUCGGAAAGGUCAACUGAUACUGUGCGACUAGAGUGCAGAAGGGGCAACUGGAAUUCUCGGUGUAGCGGUGAAAUGCGUAGAUAUCGAGAGGAACACCUGCGGCGAAGGCGGGUUGCUGGGCUGACACUGACGCUGAGGCGCGAAAGCUAGGGGAGCGAACGGGAUUAGAUACCCCGGUAGUCCUAGCCUUAAACGAUGAAUGCUUGGUGUCUGGGGUUAUAUAGUCCCCGGGUGCCGUCGCUAACGCUUUAAGCAUUCCGCCUGGGGAGUACGGUCGCAAGACUG
RNAcentral lists this ribosomal RNA (374 nucleotides) under uncultured organism. RNAcentral describes it as "bacterial SSU rRNA". It matches the Rfam family "Bacterial small subunit ribosomal RNA", at positions 526 to 896 of the family's 1533-position model. The record is from RNAcentral.